RNAcentral lists this ribosomal RNA (468 nucleotides) under uncultured bacterium. Its description in RNAcentral is "partial 16S ribosomal RNA". It matches the Rfam family "Bacterial small subunit ribosomal RNA", at positions 28 to 507 of the family's 1533-position model. The record is from RNAcentral.
GACGAACGCUGGCGGCGUGCUUAACACAUGCAAGUCGAACGGAAAGGCCCUGCUUUUGUGGGGUGCUCGAGUGGCGCGCGGGUGAGUAACACGUGAGUAACCUGCCCUUGACUUUGGGGUAACUUCAGGAAACUGGGGCUCAUACCGGGUAGGAGCUCCUGCUGCAUGGUGGGGGUUGGAAAGUUUCGGCGGUUGGGGCUGGAAUCGCGGCUUAUCAGCUUGUUGGUGUGGUAGUGGCUUACCAGGCCUUUGACGGGUAGCCGGCCUGAGAGGGUGACCGGCCACAUGGGGACUGAGAUACGGCCCAGACUCGUACGGGAGGCAGCAGUGGGGAAUAUUGCACAAUGGGCGGAAGCCUGAGGCAGCAAUGCCGCGUGCGGGAUGACGGCCUUCGGGUGGUAAACCGCUUUCGACUGUGACGAAGCGGGAGUGACGGUAAUGGGUAAAGAAGCACCGGCUAACUACGUG